This 441-nucleotide ribosomal RNA is filed under the name uncultured Oomycota. Its description in RNAcentral is "LSU rRNA". It matches the Rfam family "Eukaryotic large subunit ribosomal RNA", at positions 165 to 604 of the family's 3401-position model. Lineage: Eukaryota; Oomycota. The record is from RNAcentral.
AGCAUAGCGAUUUGGGAUAAGUCCCUUGGAAGAGGGCAGCAUGGAGGGUGAUACUCCCGUCUCUGCUCAGGUUGUCUGUGUGUACGAUACGCUUUCUUUGAGUCGAGUUGUUUGGGAAUACAGCUCAAAGCAGGUGGUAAAUUCCAUCUAAAGCUAAAUAUUGGUGCGAGACCGAUAGCGAACAAGUACCGUGAGGGAAAGAUGAAAAGAACUUUGAAAAGAGAGUUAAAGAGUACCUGAAACUGUUGAAAGGGAACCGUAUCGUUUCUAGUGUGUAUCCUAUGCAUAUUUCAUUGGCGGUUGUAAAAUUGCUGGUGCCCUGUGUAUGGGUGUGACGUCCGAGUCGGUUUGAAUUGCGGGAGAUGGGUAGUGAGGAGGUGCGUCACUUUUUGUGAAAGUUACAGCUCGCUAUCUAGUAGCCGUGGUUAAGACUGAGGUGCC